UUCUUGAGUCCAUUUUGGGUGAAAUUUCACAAGGAAUCCAAAUCUACACUCGUAUCUUGAAGAUUCCUUGGUUUUGGGUUCGGAUUUGAGCAUAGGGGGUGCCAAAAUUUUGGAGGGGUUUUGUAGGUUUUUGUGUGAACUUGGAGAGUUUGUUAUUCUUAUCUUCUACAACACUAAGAUGAUAGGAUUUUGUUAAACAUUGAGUGUUAUGGGUAUAAAUGUAUACGGUGACGAAAAAGGGAAAAGUAGUUGCAAGUUCGUCUAAUGAGCCUCAAGGGGAAGAUGUACAACAAAAGAGGAGGAGAUUGACACGGAUAGGCGACCCGGACU
This 330-nucleotide long non-coding RNA is filed under the name Helianthus annuus (common sunflower). RNAcentral describes it as "hypothetical non coding rna". Lineage: Eukaryota; Viridiplantae; Streptophyta; Magnoliopsida; Asterales; Asteraceae. The record is from RNAcentral.